GGUAUGAAGACAAUGAUUACCUUUGUAUGGUAGUACUGUUUGAAACAAAAUGGCAGUUCACUUUUUUUACUAGGUUAGAUUCUCUAGCUUAUGAAAAGAGCAUACCAUGUUAUUUGUUUCUUCAUUAUUAGCAUAAUAAGAAAAUCCACAUAGUUUGAACAUGUAAAUGCGCCUGUGCAAUAGAAUUAUCUUCACAUGAUGGGUCUCAUUUAAUUUGAUAGCACUUGUAAGAAGCUUUGCUUCAUUUGCUCAACAGAACCAUAUUAGGUUUCUUUGAUGGUGAAUACAUGUUCGUUCCGCAGUUCCAUC
RNAcentral lists this small RNA (309 nucleotides) under Oryza sativa Japonica Group (Japanese rice). Its description in RNAcentral is "sRNA Os05g0406200". The record is from RNAcentral. Lineage: Eukaryota; Viridiplantae; Streptophyta; Magnoliopsida; Poales; Poaceae.